This 245-nucleotide long non-coding RNA is filed under the name Oryza brachyantha (malo sina). RNAcentral's name for it is "long non-coding RNA (OBRA_LNC001070)". The record is from RNAcentral. Lineage: Eukaryota; Viridiplantae; Streptophyta; Magnoliopsida; Poales; Poaceae.
CAACGCAGCUCUUAACAGAGGUGCUUAUAAAAAAAAACCAGGUUUUUAUUCCGGCAAGGUUCUUGGAGUAGGAAGCCGAUGCUUCACGCGGCGCCGAUGCUUCACGGGCGCUCCAAAAAAAUUGGUUAAAAGCUGAUGGCGUCGGCGCUAGAAUCAGUCAACGAACCAGAAAAAUUGGAGGAAAAAAACAAACAAGCAGCUACCAAACAAACAGAACGCACACGCAUAUCUUCAAAUAAGCCAAC